This 26-nucleotide small RNA is filed under the name Bombyx mori (domestic silkworm). RNAcentral describes it as "ovarian small RNA-14305". The record is from RNAcentral. Lineage: Eukaryota; Metazoa; Arthropoda; Insecta; Lepidoptera; Bombycidae.
CGCAACAAUUUCCCGCAGCUGCCGAG